CUGCACCUGCGCUCCCUGCUGC
Molecule: non-coding RNA, 22 nt
Filed under: Arabidopsis thaliana (thale cress)
Lineage: Eukaryota; Viridiplantae; Streptophyta; Magnoliopsida; Brassicales; Brassicaceae
Source: RNAcentral